Long non-coding RNA from Ailuropoda melanoleuca (giant panda), 581 nucleotides. RefSeq lists it as uncharacterized. NCBI's taxonomy places the organism in Eukaryota, Metazoa, Chordata, Mammalia, Carnivora, Ursidae. The transcript has 3 exons. The record is from RefSeq and is a predicted model, not a curated record.
GAGCUCCUUGCUCUUGGCAUGCGGGGCGGCGUUGCCCAGGGACUGCAGCGAGCACGCCGAGCGCUGGUAGUCGCCCUCCAGGUCUCUCACCCAGGCAGAGUCUAGCCUGGAGAAAAAAACCACAGGAUCUCCGAAAGAGAGAGGAAGGAGAAGAAAGUUGAACAGGGAACCUUCUCCUGUGAGGAGCCUUCUUUUUCCCCUCCCACCUCACGAAGACAACAACAGCCUGACCUAGAAACUUCCUGAAUAUUUUUCACCUCCAGAGCCAGCAGAACCGAGCCUCCUCCAUGGCCCUGCAGCAGUCCAAGGGUGGCUGAUUGCUCUGUUUCCUUUGAUUUCUCCAAAAGAAGCAAAGAAGAGAGAAACUGGAUAACUGCUGGACUUUUCUACCAAGAGAUUCGAAAGUGCUUCCUGAAUGAGAACAUCUUUUCCGAGGGCAAAAAAGAAAGUCAACAGAGCAAUCAGAACAAUAUUAUUCUCUGGGUUGGAAACAGGGUACCUUGUUUACUGAAGUUUUCCAAGGCAAAAAAAAAAAAAUCAUUAUUUUAAUGCAGACUCUUCAAACUGCAGAAAAAAUAAAU